UACGUAUGGUGCAAGCGUUAUCCGGAUUUACUGGGUGUAAAGGGAGCGCAGGCGGCACGGCAAGCCUGAUGUGAAAGCCCGCGGCCCAACCGCGGGACUGCAUUGGGAACUACCGGGCUGGAGUGCCGGAGAGGUAGGCGGAAUUCCUAGUGUAGCGGUGAAAUGCGUAGAUAUUAGGAGGAACACCAGUGGCGAGGGCGGCCUACUGGACGGUGACUGACGCUGAGGCUCGAAAGCGUGGGUAGCAAACAGG
This 253-nucleotide ribosomal RNA is filed under the name uncultured bacterium. Its description in RNAcentral is "partial 16S ribosomal RNA". It matches the Rfam family "Bacterial small subunit ribosomal RNA", at positions 524 to 776 of the family's 1533-position model. The record is from RNAcentral.